Molecule: microRNA precursor, 101 nt
Filed under: Carica papaya (papaya)
Lineage: Eukaryota; Viridiplantae; Streptophyta; Magnoliopsida; Brassicales; Caricaceae
Description: miR8134 stem-loop (cpa-MIR8134)
Source: miRBase by way of RNAcentral
AUCCUCCGGAUAAAUGUCAAACAAAACCCAAAAAAGAAAUGUAAGCAUUUCUUUGCAUCUCUCUUUUUUGGGUUUUUGUUUGAGAAUUAUGCGGAGGAUGU